RNAcentral lists this non-coding RNA (204 nucleotides) under Salipiger thiooxidans. The record is from RNAcentral. Lineage: Bacteria; Pseudomonadati; Pseudomonadota; Alphaproteobacteria; Rhodobacterales; Roseobacteraceae. RNAcentral also lists the same sequence under 1 other name.
CAUGACUGCGCCAUGUCCGGUCCCGAAGCAAUCGCCUCGGGCGAAAGAGGGAAUGCCGUGCGGCGCCUCGUGCGCCAAUGCGGCAACUGCCCCCGCAACUGUAAGCGGUGAGCAGGGCCGAUCAUGCCACUGGAGAAAUCCGGGAAGGCCGGCCCCGAGCUGAGACCCGCGAGUCAGGAGACCUGCCGGACGACGCCUCCCGGA